UCUAUGUAUACGAGUCAUAUGACUAAUCGCCGAUUCCCAAACAUGCCUAGGAUUUCUUGACGUGAAUAGUGAUGAACAGGCGAUCUUGGCCUAUGUAAGUGCAAAUGAUUCAUAAUGGAAUUAAUCUCUUUGAACUGAAAGUAUAAAGGAACAC
Rhodamnia argentea is the source of this 154-nucleotide long non-coding RNA. RefSeq lists it as uncharacterized. Lineage: Eukaryota; Viridiplantae; Streptophyta; Magnoliopsida; Myrtales; Myrtaceae. The record is from RefSeq and is a predicted model, not a curated record. The transcript has 3 exons.